UGUAUUAAUAUAAUAUACCUUCUGCCCAAUGAACACUUUUUAAUGGCCGCUGUGGCGCUAAGGUAGCAUAAUAAUUUGUUUCUUAAUUAGAAAAUAGAAUGAAUGAGUUUACCAUAUAGAUAUCUUCUAUUGGGAACUUGUGAUUUUAAAGGUUUGGUGAAAAUACCAAAAUAUGUCACUCAGACGAUAAGACCCUAUGAAGCUUUAUUAAUACUAGUUUUAUUAAAAUUGUUUCUAUUGGUUAAUUUAGUUGGGGUAACAAAUAAUUACGUUAUUAUUAUAUGCGUUUAACAUAUCAUGAUCCUACCAGGAUCCUCAGAUUAAGCUACUCUAGGGAUAACAGCACAAUAAUUUCAAAAGUUCUUAUUAGAAAAAUUGUUUGUGACCUCGAUGUUGAAUUAAAAUAAUUAUACUGUGCAGCUGCUUAUAUAUUUUUAGUCUGUUCGACUAUACAAUU
Molecule: ribosomal RNA, 457 nt
Filed under: Pleuromamma borealis
Lineage: Eukaryota; Metazoa; Arthropoda; Copepoda; Calanoida; Metridinidae
Description: partial 16S ribosomal RNA
Rfam family: Bacterial large subunit ribosomal RNA
Source: RNAcentral